UUUAAAUGGCCGCAGUAUUCUAACUGUGCAAAGGUAGCAUAAUCAUUAGUCUUUUAAUUGAAGGCUGGUAUGAAUGGUUGGACGAAAUAUUAACUGUUUCAUAAAAAUUUUUAUUAGAAUUUUAUUUUUUAGUCAAAAAGCUAAAAUAAUUUUAAAAGACGAGAAGACCCUAUGAAUCUUUAUAUUUAGUUUAUUUUAAUUUUAUAGAUUAUUUUUGUUAUAAUAAAUUUACAUAUUUUGUUGGGGUGAUAUUAAAAUUUAAUAAACUUUUAAUUUUAAAAAUCAUUAAUUUAUGAAAAAUUGAUCCGUUAUUAACGAUUAAAAAAUUAAGUUACUCUAGGGAUAACAGCGUAAUUUUUUUGGAGAGUUCUUAUCGAUAAAAAAGUUUGCGACCUCGAUGUUGGAUUAAGAUAUAAUUUUAGGUGUAGUUGCUUAAAUUUUAAGUCUGUUCGAC
This 454-nucleotide ribosomal RNA is filed under the name Fannia canicularis (little house fly). Its description in RNAcentral is "partial 16S ribosomal RNA". It matches the Rfam family "Bacterial large subunit ribosomal RNA", at positions 1922 to 2585 of the family's 2925-position model. The record is from RNAcentral. Lineage: Eukaryota; Metazoa; Arthropoda; Insecta; Diptera; Fanniidae.